UACGAGGGGGGCAAGUGUUGUUCGGAAUCACUGGGCGUAAAGGGAGUGUAGGCGGACGUUUAAGUUGGAUGUUUAAAACCGGGGCCCAACCUCGGAGCGGCAUGCAAAACUGGGCGUCUUGAAUGGAACAGAGGCUAGUGGAAUUGGGGGUGUAGCGGUGGAAUGCGUAGAGAUCCGCAAGAACACCAAUUGCGAAGGCAGCUAGCUGGGUUCACAUUGACGCUGAGGCUCGAAAGCGUGGGGAGCAAACAGG
RNAcentral lists this ribosomal RNA (253 nucleotides) under uncultured bacterium. RNAcentral's name for it is "partial 16S ribosomal RNA". It matches the Rfam family "Bacterial small subunit ribosomal RNA", at positions 524 to 776 of the family's 1533-position model. The record is from RNAcentral.